RNAcentral lists this ribosomal RNA (523 nucleotides) under uncultured bacterium. RNAcentral's name for it is "partial 16S ribosomal RNA". It matches the Rfam family "Bacterial small subunit ribosomal RNA", at positions 28 to 523 of the family's 1533-position model. The record is from RNAcentral.
GACGAACGCUGGCGGCGUGCCUAAUACAUGCAAGUCGAGCGCAGGAAACUGACGGAACUCUUCGGAGGGAAGGCAGUGGAAUGAGCGGCGGACGGGUGAGUAACACGUAAGGAACCUGCCUCAAGGAUUGGGAUAACUCCGAGAAAUCGGAGCUAAUACCGGAUAGUUCAUCGGACCGCAUGGUCCGUUGAUGAAAGGCGCUCCGGCGUCACCUUGAGAUGGCCUUGCGGUGCAUUAGCUAGUUGGUGGGGUAACGGCCACCAAGGCGACGAGGCAUAGCCGACCUGAGAGGGUGAUCGGCCACACUGGGACUGAGACACGGCCCAUACUCCUACGGGAGGCAGCAGUAGGGAAUCUUCCACAAUGGACGAAAGUCUGAUGGAGCAACGCCGCGUGAGUGAUGAAGGUUUUCGGAUCGUAAAACUCUGUUGUAAGGGAAGAACACGUACGAGAGGGAAUGCUCGUACCUUGACGGUACCUUACGAGAAAGCCACGGCUAACUACGUGCCAGCCGCCGCGGUAA